Molecule: ribosomal RNA, 1493 nt
Filed under: uncultured bacterium
Lineage: Bacteria
Description: 16S ribosomal RNA
Rfam family: Bacterial small subunit ribosomal RNA
Source: RNAcentral
UUGAUCCUGGCUCAGGAUGAACGCUAGCGGCAGGCUUAACACAUGCAAGUCGAGGGGCAGCGGGGAGGAAGCUUGCUUUCUCCGCCGGCGACCGGCGCACGGGUGAGUAACACGUAUGCAACCUGCCCCUGUCAGGGGGACAACCCGCCGAAAGGCGGGCUAAACCCGCGUACAUGCCACCGGGGCAUCCCGGAGGCAGGAAAGGCUUCGGCCGGACAGGGAUGGGCAUGCGGCGCAUUAGGCAGUAGGCGGGGUAACGGCCCACCUAACCGACGAUGCGUAGGGGUUCUGAGAGGAAGGUCCCCCACACUGGUACUGAGACACGGACCAGACUCCUACGGGAGGCAGCAGUGAGGAAUAUUGGUCAAUGGUCGGGAGACUGAACCAGCCAAGCCGCGUGAGGGAUGAAGGUACAGAGUAUCGUAAACCUCUUUUGUCAGGGAACAAAGGCGGGGACGUGUCCCCGGAUGAGUGUACCUGAAGAAAAAGCAUCGGCUAACUCCGUGCCAGCAGCCGCGGUAAUACGGAGGAUGCGAGCGUUAUCCGGAUUUAUUGGGUUUAAAGGGUGCGCAGGCGGUCUGUUAAGUCAGCGGUCAAAGCCCGGGGCUCAACCCCGGCCCGCCGUUGAAACUGGCAGUCUCGAGUUGGAGAGAAGUAUGCGGAAUGCGCGGUGUAGCGGUGAAAUGCAUAGAUAUCGCGCAGAACUCCGAUUGCGAAGGCAGCAUGCCGGCUCUACACUGACGCUGAGGCACGAAAGCGUGGGUAUCGAACAGGAUUAGAUACCCUGGUAGUCCACGCAGUAAACGAUGAAUGCUGGCUGUCCGGGGGGGAUUGACCCCUGGGUGGCGAAGCGAAAGCGAUAAGCAUUCCACCUGGGGAGUACGCCGGCAACGGUGAAACUCAAAGGAAUUGACGGGGGCCCGCACAAGCGGAGGAACAUGUGGUUUAAUUCGAUGAUACGCGAGGAACCUUACCCGGGCUCAAACGGGGAGUGACUCAGGCAGAGACGCCUGUUUCCCACGGGACACUCCCCGAGGUGCUGCAUGGUUGUCGUCAGCUCGUGCCGUGAGGUGUCGGCUUAAGUGCCAUAACGAGCGCAACCCCCGCGUGCAGUUGCUAACAGAUAACGCUGAGGACUCUGCACGGACUGCCGGCGCAAGCCGCGAGGAAGGCGGGGAUGACGUCAAAUCAGCACGGCCCUUACGUCCGGGGCGACACACGUGUUACAAUGGGUGGUACAGCGGGAAGCCAGGCGGCGACGCCGAGCGGAACCCGAAAUCCACUCUCAGUUCGGAUCGGAGUCUGCAACCCGACUCCGUGAAGCUGGAUUCGCUAGUAAUCGCGCAUCAGCCAUGGCGCGGUGAAUACGUUCCCGGGCCUUGUACACACCGCCCGUCAAGCCAUGGGAGCCGAGGGCGCUUGAAGUGCGUCGCCGCGAGGCGCGCCCUAGAGCGAAAUCGGUGACUGGGGCUAAGUCGUAACAAGGUAACCGU